Macadamia integrifolia is the source of this 2507-nucleotide long non-coding RNA. RefSeq lists it as uncharacterized. Lineage: Eukaryota; Viridiplantae; Streptophyta; Magnoliopsida; Proteales; Proteaceae. The record is from RefSeq and is a predicted model, not a curated record. The transcript has 3 exons.
AAUGCUUGCGCAGUGAUAAGAGUUGUAUCUUAGGGUUUCUUGGCACCAGUGAGUCACAGUGACCAGCCUUGACUUAAGCUGCACAAUCUGAGACAUUCUGGGUUUGAAUUCAAUACAUUGGAUUGGGGGAAGGGAAGUUGCAGAUGGAGUAAACAAGGGAAGAGAGUACGACAGUGCCGAAUCUCCCGCUGGAGGUAAUCAUGUUCAUACUUUACAGACUUUCCGUCCAGUGUCUUCUACGUUUGAGGUGUGUUUGUAAAUCCUGGCGCAAAUUGAUUAGUGAACCAAGUUUUGUUGAGAUGCAUCUCAGACGAUCAAAUGAUAAUAACAUCAGUCUCAUCAUUUCAAGGGAUCAAAUCGAUUUUUACUCCAUAGAUUAUGAUGUAUGUGAUGAUGAGAAUAGGGCUGUAAAGCUUAACGAAAUUCAGUUGCCAAGUUUCAGAAUAGUUGGUUCUUGCAAUGGAUUGUUGUACUGCGUUAAUCAGAAUAAUGUAUUUUUGUGGAAUUCUUCUACUAGAGAGUUCAAGCAAUUGCCAGAUAUUCCAGUUAAAUUUUAUGAUCCUAUUUCUAACUGUUGGGGAUUUGGUUAUGAUCCGAAGGCUAAUGAAUACAAGGUGAUAAGGAUUGUCGAGAUUUGCUAUAAUGAAUCAGAUUUGUCUACUCCUCGAACUGAAGUCAUGAUUUGCACAUUAAGUACUGAUUGUGGAGAAGGCUGGAGAAUGUCCCUUUUUUCAUUACUAGUAGUUCGUUAGCGACUGUUGUGGGUGGUGUUCCUCAUUGGGUGGCAAAGAAAAGGGGUUCUCGUUUUGAAAAAAACCAUCAUUUCCUUUGAUGUUAGGUUUGAAGAGUUCCGGGAGGUUCAAUGGCCCAUGAAGGACUGCAAUGGGCACCUAUUCUGCCUCUGUUCUGAAAUUCAUUUGGGUGUAAUCCGAGGAUGCCUCUCUGUACUUUAUUGUGUUGGUGAAAAUAUGGAGAUAUUUGUUAUGAAGGAGUAUGGGAUUCAGGAAUCUUGGACUAAACAGUUUAAAUUUGGGCUACAAAGACAAUAUAGGGUUUUACAAUUCUCUCUGCCGUUUGGGUUUUCGAAGAAUGGUGAAGUUCUACUGCUGGAGAGGAUUCACAAAAACCUACUUGUCUACAACCCAGAAAAUAAUAUGUUUAGGGAAGCUGCAAUUCUAGGUUAUCUUGCUUUGUUUAUAUUGGGUGCUUAUGCUGAGAGUCUUGUUUCGCUUGAGUCUAAAAAUGGUAUUGAGGAACCUCAGCAAGUGUAUGUGGCAAUGAAGUUAAGAAAUUAGGAGAAAGAGGGACUGAUGGAGCAAAGGGGUAAGCAACAAUGAGAAACCAAGCAAAUAGAACUGAAAACAGCGGUUGAGGAUCCGAACUUUGAUGCUGAAUGGAUUCAUGAAGAUAGUAGAAUCGCUUAACCCGAUGACUUUCUGUUGUCUAUUGUUAUGAGGAACUUUAUCUUUUUUUAGAACUGAUGUUUAAUUUGCUGAAGUGAUGUCUACUGUGGUGUUACAAUUAUUACUGUAUGCACACCUGAAUCUCCUACAAGCUGGCAUAGUAUAGAGGGUGAUGUAGAUAGCAGGAACAAGGUUUUAAAACCAGUCCUGACCGGUUGUGGCCUUUUUUCCUCUUUUUUUGAUGAUCUUCAUUCUAUGACAGAUCGUAAAUGGUUCUUUGGUGUUAUGUUUACCACUUCAUAUUUUACUUGGGAUCACAGCAAUCAGGUGGCAUUUCGGAAGUCGAAACCAAAUAUUUUUGUUAUUUUAACCAAUGUUUCUCAUUGGAUUGUUGAUCUUAAAUUUUAUGAUCUGGUGAAUUCUAGCAGUUCAAUAGUGCAGUUACCUACUCCAUUGAUGCUUGAUUCAUUUCUGAUUCUGUCUUCUUUGAGGUCUUCUUUGUCCGAGGAUCACGCUCUGCUAAUGAUUGAUAGAGUCUUUCCCCAAAAGUGCUGCUGUUGCUGGAUGUGCUUCCCUUGUUGUAUUCCAUAAUUGCUUUACUUUCAUCAUGGUAAUUGAUUUUGGUGUAGGAGCAGAUUGGAGGCAAUGGCCAGGGGACUUCUCCAAGGGCUUGAAGGAGUAAAGGUUAUUGGGGUAUAGAUAGAGAUACGAACAACUUCCAUGGAGAAUGCUGAUUUUUGAUAACAAGAAUUCUAGUUUAUUGCUUUGGGAGAUAUUUCGCAUUUUGAACAAGAUAGAUGUGUUAUUUAAGUACUUUAAGUCAAUAGUUUGGCAGGUGUGUCUGGAUGACUCUAUAAACUAUGUACUUGUAUGGUUGUAAGGGCCAAGAACGAUAGACUUAGGAUCUUUACUAUGGAUGAUGUAGGGGAUAUCAUUUCGAGGUGUUUCUAAUGACUUCUUGUUUCUAAACUAAUUAGAUUGAGUCUUAGCCUGGUUGGCCAUUAUUAUUAAGAGUCUUAAUGGUGAUCUGGGACCAUUGACAAAACCUUGAUCCAUAAGUUAGUUUCUGGUUGGAAGAAGUUUAUUGAAUUAUAGUGUUCAUCA